RNAcentral lists this transfer RNA (73 nucleotides) under Flavobacteriales bacterium. RNAcentral describes it as "tRNA-Ile". It matches the Rfam family "tRNA". Rfam says of the family: Transfer RNA (tRNA) molecules are approximately 80 nucleotides in length. The record is from RNAcentral. Lineage: Bacteria; Pseudomonadati; Bacteroidota; Flavobacteriia; Flavobacteriales.
AGGCUUAUAACUCAGAGGUUAGAGUAUACGCAUUAUAUGCGGAAAGACAGUAGUUCGAAUCUACUUGGGCCUU